GAUGAACGCUGGCGGCGUGCCUAAUACAUGCAAGUCGAACGAACAGACCAGGAGCUUGCUCCUCUGACGUUAGCGGCGGACGGGUGAGUAACACGUGGAUAACCUACCUAUAAGACUCGGAUAACUUCGAGAAACCGGAGCUAAUACCGGAUAAUCUAUUGAACCGCAUGGUUCAAUAGUGAAAGACGGUUUUGCUGUCACUUAUAGAUGGAUCCGCGCCGCAUUAGCUAGUUGGUAAGGUAACGGCUUACCAAGGCAACGAUGCGUAGCCGACGUGGGAGGGUGAGCGGCGACACGGGAACUGAGACACGGUCCAGACUCCUACGGGAGGCAGCAGUAGGGAAUCGUCCGAAAGGGGCGAAAGCGUGACGGAGAAGCGCCGCGUGAGUGAUGAAGGUCUUCGGAUCGUAAAAGUCUGUUACUAGGGAAGAACAAAUGUGUAAGUAACUAUGCACGUCUUGACGGUACCUGAUCAGAAAGCCACGGCUAACUACGUG
RNAcentral lists this ribosomal RNA (497 nucleotides) under uncultured bacterium. Its description in RNAcentral is "partial 16S ribosomal RNA". It matches the Rfam family "Bacterial small subunit ribosomal RNA", at positions 28 to 507 of the family's 1533-position model. The record is from RNAcentral.